GUGAGGAAUUUUCCGCAAUGGGCGAAAGCCUGACGGAGCAAUGCCGCGUGAAGGAUGAAGGCCUAUGGGUUGUAAACUUCUUUUCUCAGAAAAGAAUUAUGACGGUAUCUGAGGAAUAAGCAUCGGCUAACUCUGUGCCAGCAGCCGCGGUAAGACAGAGGAUGCAAGCGUUAUCCGGAAUGAUUGGGCGUAAAGCGUCUGUAGGUUGUUUAAAAAGUAUUCUGUCAAAGAUUAGGGCUUAACCCUAGAUAGGCAGAAUAAACUUUUAAGCUAGAGUUUGGUAGAGGCAGAGGGAAUUCCCGGUGGAGCGGUGAAAUGCGUAGAUAACGGGAGGAACACCAAAGGCGAAGGCACUCUGCUGGGCCAAUACUAACACUGAGAGACGAAAGCGAGGGGAGCAAAUGGGAUUAGAAACCCGAGUAGUCC
Molecule: ribosomal RNA, 426 nt
Filed under: uncultured bacterium
Lineage: Bacteria
Description: partial 16S ribosomal RNA
Rfam family: Bacterial small subunit ribosomal RNA
Source: RNAcentral